AGUGAACGCUGGCGGUAGGCCUAACACAUGCAAGUCGAACGGCAGCACAGUAAGAGCUUGCUCUUACGGGUGGCGAGUGGCGGACGGGUGAGGAAUACAUCGGAAUCUACUUUUUCGUGGGGGAUAACGUAGGGAAACUUACGCUAAUACCACAUACGACCUACGGGUGAAAGCAGGGGAUCUUCGGACCUUGCGCGAUUGAAUGAGCCGAUGUCGGAUUAGCUAGUUGGCGGGGUAAAGGCCCACCAAGGCGACGAUCCGUAGCUGGUCUGAGAGGAUGAUCAGCCACACUGGAACUGAGACACGGUCCAGACUCCUACGGGAGGCAGCAGUGGGGAAUAUUGGACAAUGGGCGCAAGCCUGAUCCAGCCAUACCGCGUGGGUGAAGAAGGCCUUCGGGUUGUAAAGCCCUUUUGUCGGGAAAGAAAAGCAGCAGGUUAAUACCCCGCUGUUCUGACGGUACCCAAAGAAUAAGCACCGGCUAACUUCGUG
This 492-nucleotide ribosomal RNA is filed under the name uncultured bacterium. Its description in RNAcentral is "partial 16S ribosomal RNA". It matches the Rfam family "Bacterial small subunit ribosomal RNA", at positions 29 to 507 of the family's 1533-position model. The record is from RNAcentral.